This 566-nucleotide small RNA is filed under the name Pan troglodytes (chimpanzee). Its description in RNAcentral is "processed transcript". Lineage: Eukaryota; Metazoa; Chordata; Mammalia; Primates; Hominidae. The record is from RNAcentral.
CGGGGGCGGCGCUCAGUUGUCCAACCAAAAUCUAGUACUUUGCUAUUCAAAAGUGUCUGGGGACCAGCAGCAUCAGCAUCUCAGGUCCUGCCCCAGGCUAUUGAAUUAGAGCCUGCAUUGAACAAAACCACCCACCCCCAGUGACUUGAGGUCAUCCAGGGCACGACUCCUUGAACUGUUCACUGAUUUGAGCUGUAAUCCAGAAAUGAUGAAGAAUGCAGCAGAUUCAUAUUUCUCACUUUUACAAGGUUUCAUAAAUUCUUUGGAUGAAUCUACCCAAGAAAGCAAGUUACGAUAUAUUCAAAAUUUCAAGUGGACUGAUACAUUGCAAGGACAGGUUCCAAGUAUAACAGAAGAUGAAGCAAAAGAAGUUCAUCGAAGCCUAAAGAUUGCGGCUGGGAUUUUUAAACAUUUAAAGGAAAGUCAUAUCCCAAAACUCAUUACACCUGCAGAAAAAGGAAGAGAUUUAGAGUCACGACUCAUAGAAGCAUAUGUUAUUCAAUGUCAGGCUGAAGCUCAAGAAGUAACAAUUGCUCGAGCAAUUGAACUAAAACAUGCUCCUGGAC